CCUGUGCACUAGAGAGCAAAUUGGAAAGUGGGGAGUUUGGCUGGGGCGGCACAUCUGUUAGAACAGAACACAGGUGUCCUAAGGUGAGCUCAAUGAGAACAGAAAUCUCAUGUAGAACAAAAGGGUAAAAGCUCACUUGAUUUUGAUUUUCAGUAUGAAUACAAACCGUGAAAGCGUGGCCUAUCGAUCCUUUAGUUCUUUUGAAUUUUAAGCUAGAGGUGCCAGAAAAGUUACCACAGGGAUAACUGGCUUGUGGCAGCCAAGCGUCCAUAGCGACGUUGC
This 282-nucleotide non-coding RNA is filed under the name Albugo candida. RNAcentral's name for it is "Eukaryotic large subunit ribosomal RNA". It matches the Rfam family "Eukaryotic large subunit ribosomal RNA", at positions 2585 to 2866 of the family's 3401-position model. The record is from Rfam by way of RNAcentral. Lineage: Eukaryota; Oomycota; Peronosporomycetes; Albuginales; Albuginaceae.